This 433-nucleotide ribosomal RNA is filed under the name uncultured bacterium. RNAcentral describes it as "partial 16S ribosomal RNA". It matches the Rfam family "Bacterial small subunit ribosomal RNA", at positions 29 to 507 of the family's 1533-position model. The record is from RNAcentral.
AACGAACGCUGGCGGCAGGCCUAACACAUGCAAGUCGAGCGAGGACUUCGGUUCUAGCGGCGGACGGGUGAGUAACGCGUGGGAAUGUGCCCUUCUCUACGGAAUAGCCCUGGGAAACUGGGAGUAAUACCGUAUACGCCCUAUUGGGGAAAGAUUUAUCGGAGAAGGAUCAGCCCGCGUUGGAUUAGGUAGUUGGUGGGGUAAUGGCCUACCAAGCCGACGAUCCAUAGCUGGUUUGAGAGGAUGAUCAGCCACACUGGGACUGAGACACGGCCCAGACUCCUACGGGAGGCAGCAGUGGGGAAUCUUAGACAAUGGGGGCAACCCUGAUCUAGCCAUGCCGAGUGAGUGAUGAAGGCCUUAGGGUUGUAAAGCUCUUUCAGCUGGGAAGAUAAUGACGGUACCAGCAGAAGAAGCCCCGGCUAACUCCGUG